GCUCGCGUAGCUCAAUGGCAGAGCGGCCGGUUGUGGACCGGUCCAUCGGGGUUCGACUCCCUGCGCGAGUACCA
Molecule: transfer RNA, 74 nt
Filed under: Hyphomicrobiales bacterium
Lineage: Bacteria; Pseudomonadati; Pseudomonadota; Alphaproteobacteria; Hyphomicrobiales
Description: tRNA-His
Rfam family: tRNA
About the family: Transfer RNA (tRNA) molecules are approximately 80 nucleotides in length. Their secondary structure includes four short double-helical elements and three loops (D, anti-codon, and T loops). Further hydrogen bonds mediate the characteristic L-shaped molecular structure. tRNAs have two regions of fundamental functional importance: the anti-codon, which is responsible for specific mRNA codon recognition, and the 3' end, to which the tRNAs corresponding amino acid is attached (by aminoacyl-tRNA synthetases). tRNAs cope with the degeneracy of the genetic code in two manners: having more than one tRNA (with a specific anti-codon) for a particular amino acid; and 'wobble' base-pairing, i.e. permitting non-standard base-pairing at the 3rd anti-codon position.
Source: RNAcentral